CUCGUACACAAUGUUAUGGGUGAGAUACUAUAUAUCAACGGAAAUAUAUGAGAGUCCUCUUUCUAAUGAAAUAGGUUUCAUCCAAUUUGGAUAUCGGACUAAAACGUUAUGGUUAAUCUACUUCAGACUAUUAAAACAAUCCAUCAAAGGACAGAUUCAAAAAUUAUUUGAUUUUUAAGGGCGUUUUGGUCAUUCUUCCUAACCUAAAAUCCAUUCAAACCCUUUAUUA
This 229-nucleotide long non-coding RNA is filed under the name Capsicum annuum. RNAcentral describes it as "long non-coding RNA (CANN_LNC021379)". The record is from RNAcentral. Lineage: Eukaryota; Viridiplantae; Streptophyta; Magnoliopsida; Solanales; Solanaceae.